CAAUAGCGUAUAUUAAAGUUGUUGCAGUUAAAAGCUCGUAGUUGGACUUCAGAGUGAGCUCAGACGGUCGGCCUAAGGGUCAGAACUGGUUGACUCUCUCUUGUUUGUGGAAGCCGCCCGGAGUUAACUCUUCGGAUGUGCUCUCCACAUCGUUUACCUUGAAAAAUUAGAGUGUUCAAAGCAGGCGUUUGCUUGAAUAUAUUAGCAUGGAAUAAUGGAAUAGGACCCUGGUUCUAUUUUGUUGGUUUUGAGGACCAGAGUAAUGAUUAAUAGGGAUAGUUGGGGGCAUUCAUAUUUCAUUGUCAGAGGUGAAAUUCUUGGAUUUAUGAAAGAUGAACUUCUGCGAAAGCAUUUGCCAAGGAUGUUUUCAUUAAUCAAGAACGAAAGUUAGGGGAUCGAAGACGAUUAGAUACCGU
RNAcentral lists this ribosomal RNA (416 nucleotides) under uncultured eukaryote. RNAcentral's name for it is "SSU rRNA". It matches the Rfam family "Eukaryotic small subunit ribosomal RNA", at positions 592 to 1018 of the family's 1831-position model. The record is from RNAcentral.